RNAcentral lists this unclassified non-coding RNA (466 nucleotides) under Melitaea cinxia (Glanville fritillary). RNAcentral describes it as "misc RNA ENSMCXG00005008736.1". Lineage: Eukaryota; Metazoa; Arthropoda; Insecta; Lepidoptera; Nymphalidae. The record is from RNAcentral.
UUUAUUUUAAACAAAACAUAUAUUUUAAAAACAAACAACUUUUAUAUUUUAAAAUUUAAAAAGCAAAUUCGAAAAAAAAUAUGCUAAUAAUCACUGAAAAAAUAAUAUUUAAAUUUUAUUUAAACGGAACUUAUUCGUCGUUGACUAACAAUGAAUUAUGGCUUCAUUAAUAAACGACUUUACGUAAAUAACAACUUAAUAGUUUUAUUCGCCAUUGUUAUGUACCUUCUAUUUCACAAGGCAAAUAAAAAAACAUACUGUCAGACAUAUUUAUUUUUCAUUUCCUAGUUUGCUACUAUUAUAUUUUCAUACUCUUCUUACAUCAUAAUCUUAUUCAAAAUUUUAAUCGUUAAUAAUAGACAUUCAUAAUAUAUAUAAAUGAAUAUAUAAAUAAGUUAAUAAUAGUCAUUGCAGUGAAGUACCGAUGCAUGUUUAAAUUUUUUUUUUUUUAGUUAUCGAAUAACAA